CUGAAAAUUGACUGUUUCACACAGGAAAAGCAGCUUGAGCUACACUGACACGUUCAUAUAGAUACAAACAACGAAGCUGUGGGAGAACUGCUGUGUUCAACUGUUUGUCUUGACAGGGCUUUGGCAGUGGAAGGGAGUCUCCAUUGGACUAUUCAGCAGGAUUUGAAGUAGUAGUGGUGGGAGCUGAGCUAGGAGCAAAUCAUAGACCCAGCUGUCACAAAGCAGUAGUUUCUGGCCACUAAACCAUGAGCACUGUACAAACCACACAAGUGAAUGGGCCAGAAACUCCUGAUUAGAAAAGGAAAAUAUCCAUCGCUUCUAGUCAUGCUUUCUAUCUCAGUGCCACUGUUAUUACUACUGUUGCCGCAUCCUGAACUGGUGAAUAAAAAAGGAGACAGCAUUGCAACAUGAAAUCAGGUAGAAAAGCAGGGUGGAUAAAUAACAUAGGUUAAAGGGGAAUGGGGAAUACAAAUGUGAUGGUAGCUGAAAGAGGAUAAAAGAGUGGAGGAGGUCAAGUGAACAGCUGUAAGGCAUUGCUUCAAACGAAGUUCAGCUGCAGAAAAGUUCUUGAGUGAACUGGGUUGCUCUUGCAGCUUGGAUUCACAAGUGAGAAGGGCUGGUGGACAAGAACAAAUUUGCUAUAAUAUUCUUCGGUUGAGGCUGAAGAAAUUCUCUAGAAUGCCUGGAACAAAGAUACUAGAAUGAAAAAACCAAAAUGAGUUACUGGCAGGGGAAUACAGACUACAUUUCCAGGUAACUUCUAGACCUGGUGAUCCAUUGCCAUGCAACUGUUGCAAUAUUAGGUGAAUUGCUGAUUCACCUUCCCUGGGGAAAGGGCAGAGUUGGAAUAAGUCAGCGGCCUUGUACUGGUGGAGAUGGAGAAGUUAGGCGCUGACGGCUUCUGUCUGUGUUGCCCUUUGAAUGACCAGUGACAUGGCAGCCUUGUCUAAAGGCAGCUGCCUAAGCUCUGCUUGUCCAUGUUAAAUGCAGAGUUUCAGCUUUGUUAGGAAUCAUUUGCAUGCAGCAGAUCUUGUUCUCUCUGAGGUGCAUUGGUGUAGUGCCAGUCAGCUUGGGGAGAAAAGUGGUGGGAGCAGUGUCAGAGGGGUGACCAGGUGUAUAAAUCUGUGCCAAUCUCCUUGGAAAGGGAUCUUGCUGUUGUCUUAAUGAAGAGACCAGAAAAAGGAGAAGAGAGGAAUCUGCUUGAACUGCAGAAACUAAAUGGAGCAAGGAGGAAUGGGAUCUGGUAAGGGAUGUGUGAAAGGACCUUCUGUCAGCUGUCUUCAUGACCAUGGAGGGAAGCGACAGAGGGGCUGCAUUUCUAUUAAAACACAAAAUUGAAGAGAGAUUUUUCAAGGAAUGUUAUCAUUCAAGAAGCUUCGUGAUCAGUUUGGCACUCUUUUGUUUUUUUACUCUUGUAGUUACUGUUGUAUCUCUGGGUGAAUUAAGCUGUGGUGCAAGUUAAAGGACCAGUCAUACUGGUGUGCUUGCUCUCAUUACUUCCAGAUAUAUAGUAGCUCAACUGACCUUCAUUUGCUGCAUGUAGAUAAAUCAAUUGCUGAACACAGGUAUAAAAUUGCGAUGUGCAUAUUUAACAUUUUCUCUUCUGGUCUUUGGAGCAGUGGAAGGUGAGACAAGAUUAUGAUAUUUACUUGGUUGAACUCUCUUCUGUUUAGGCUGGAAGAGCUAGUGGAUGGACAUGCUGUACUCCUUUCCUUUUUCCUUGUGCUAGGGUGUCGUAAGGAAGAUGAGUCCUUGCUUUAGUCUGAGUUCUUAUCUGGAAUAAACCUUUCAGCUGAUCUGAGCA
Molecule: long non-coding RNA, 1804 nt
Organism: Phasianus colchicus (ring-necked pheasant)
Lineage: Eukaryota; Metazoa; Chordata; Aves; Galliformes; Phasianidae
Source: Ensembl